RNAcentral lists this ribosomal RNA (497 nucleotides) under uncultured bacterium. RNAcentral's name for it is "partial 16S ribosomal RNA". It matches the Rfam family "Bacterial small subunit ribosomal RNA", at positions 28 to 507 of the family's 1533-position model. The record is from RNAcentral.
GAUGAACGCUGGCGGCGUGCCUAAUACAUGCAAGUCGAGCGAACAGACGAGGAGCUUGCUCCUCUGACGUUAGCGGCGGACGGGUGAGUAACACGUGGAUAACCUACCUAUAAGACUGGGAUAACUUCGGGAAACCGGAGCUAAUACCGGAUAAUAUAUUGAACCGCAUGGUUCAAUAGUGAAAGACGGUUUUGCUGUCACUUAUAGAUGGAUCCGCGCCGCAUUAGCUAGUUGGUAAGGUAACGGCUUACCAAGGCGACGAUGCGUAGCCGACCUGAGAGGGUGAUCGGCCACCCUGGAACUGGGACACGGUCCCGACGCCUACGGGAGGCAGCAGUAGGGAAUCUUCCGCAAUGGGCGAAAGCCUGACGGAGCAACGCCGCGUGAGUGAUGAAGGUCUUCGGAUCGUAAAACUCUGUUAUUAGGGAAGAACAAAUGUGUAAGUAACUAUGCACGUCUUGACGGUACCUAAUCAGAAAGCCACGGCUAACUACGUG